AGAGGGGUGCGAGCGUUAAUCGGAAUUACUGGGCGUAAAGGGCGCGUAGGUGGAUUAGUAAGUUGGGAUGUGAAAUCCCCGGGCUUAACCUGGGAGGGUCAUCCAAAACUGUGAGUCUAGAGUAUAGUAGAGGGAAGUGGAAUUUCCGGUGUAGCGGUGAAAUGCGUAGAUAUCGGAAGGAACAUCAGUGGCGAAGGCGGCUUCCUGGACUAAUACUGACACUGAGGCGCGAAAGCGUGGGGAGCAAACAGGAUUAGAUACCCUGGUAGUCCACGCCGUAAACGAUGAAAACUAGCUGUUGGGAGAUUAACUUCUCUUAGUGGCGCAGCUAACGCGAUAAGUUUUCCGCCUGGGGAGUACGACCGCAAGGUUA
RNAcentral lists this ribosomal RNA (373 nucleotides) under uncultured organism. RNAcentral's name for it is "partial 16S ribosomal RNA". It matches the Rfam family "Bacterial small subunit ribosomal RNA", at positions 526 to 896 of the family's 1533-position model. The record is from RNAcentral.